Molecule: ribosomal RNA, 465 nt
Filed under: uncultured bacterium
Lineage: Bacteria
Description: partial 16S ribosomal RNA
Rfam family: Bacterial small subunit ribosomal RNA
Source: RNAcentral
GACGAACGCUGGCGGCGUGCUUAACACAUGCAAGUCGAACGGAAAGGCCCCUUUGGGGGUACUCGAGUGGCGAACGGGUGUGUAACACGUGAGUAACCUGCCCUUGACUUCGGGAUAACUUCAGGAAACUGGGGCUAAUACCGGAUAGGAAUCCUUGCUGCAUGGUGGGGGUUGGAAAGCUUCGGCGGUUUUGGAUGGACUCGCGGCUUAUCAGCUUGUUGGCGGGGUAGUGGCUUACCAAGGCUUUGACGGGUAGCCGGCCUGAGAGGGCGACCGGCCACAUUGGGACUGAGAUACGGCCCAGACUCCUACGGGAGGCAGCAGUGGGGAAUAUUGCACAAUGGGCGGAAGCCUGAUGCAGCAACGCCGCGUGCGGGAUGACGGCCUUCGGGUUGUAAACCGCUUUCAGCAGGGGCGAAGCUUGUGGUGACGGUACCUGCAGAAGAAGCACCGGCUAACUACGUG